RNAcentral lists this transfer RNA (76 nucleotides) under Candidatus Babelota bacterium. RNAcentral's name for it is "tRNA-Ala". It matches the Rfam family "tRNA". From Rfam's summary of the family: Transfer RNA (tRNA) molecules are approximately 80 nucleotides in length. Their secondary structure includes four short double-helical elements and three loops (D, anti-codon, and T loops). The record is from RNAcentral.
GGGGGUGUAGCUCAGUUGGUAGAGCGUCUGUCUCGCUCACAGAAGGCCAGCGGUUCGACUCCGCUCACCUCCACCA